RNAcentral lists this ribosomal RNA (253 nucleotides) under uncultured bacterium. RNAcentral's name for it is "partial 16S ribosomal RNA". It matches the Rfam family "Bacterial small subunit ribosomal RNA", at positions 524 to 776 of the family's 1533-position model. The record is from RNAcentral.
UACGGGGGGGGCAAGCGUUGUUCGGAAUUACUGGGCGUAAAGGGCUUGUAGGUGGCCAACUAAGUCCGACGUGAAAUCCCUAGGCUUAACCUAGGAACUGUGUCGGAUACUGGAUGGCUUGAAUCCGGGAGAGGGAUGCGGAAUUCCAGGUGUAGCGGUGAAAUGCGUAGAUAUCUGGAGGAACACCGGUGGCGAAGGCGGCAUCCUGGACCGGUAUUGACACUGAAAAGCGAAAGCCAGGGGAGCAAACGGG